CGGCGGACGGGUGAGUAACGCGUGGGUAACCUGCCUCAUACGGGGGGAUAACAGUUAGAAAUGACUGCUAAUACCGCAUAAGACCACGGUACCGCAUGGUACAGUGGUAAAAACUCCGGUGGUAUGAGAUGGACCCGCGUCUGAUUAGGUAGUUGGUGGGGUAACGGCCUACCAAGCCGACGAUCAGUAGCCGACCUGAGAGGGUGACCGGCCACAUUGGGACUGAGACACGGCCCAG
This 238-nucleotide ribosomal RNA is filed under the name uncultured bacterium. RNAcentral's name for it is "partial 16S ribosomal RNA". It matches the Rfam family "Bacterial small subunit ribosomal RNA", at positions 96 to 334 of the family's 1533-position model. The record is from RNAcentral.